This is a long non-coding RNA of Gavialis gangeticus (Gharial), 164 nucleotides long. RefSeq lists it as uncharacterized. The record is from RefSeq and is a predicted model, not a curated record. NCBI's taxonomy places the organism in Eukaryota, Metazoa, Chordata, Crocodylia, Gavialidae. The transcript has 3 exons.
CCCCCAGGGCAGGAGAGAGUUCAUGGUGAGGCUUCUUGGAGCUGGUCAAGGUACAGGACCCGUAAGUGAUAUUGGGGCUGUUUGGUUUGUUUUUUGUUUUUGUUUUUUUCUUCUCCUCCAUAGCUUUUAAAGGCCACAAUGAACAUGCAGCCUAACUUAUGUGA